CCUACGGGAGGCAGCAGUAGGGAAUAUUGGUCAAUGGACGAAAGUCUGAACCAGCCAUGCCGCGUGAAGGAUGAAGGUCCUCUGGAUUGUAAACUUCUUUUAUCUGGGACGAAAAAAGGGCUUUCUAGCUCACUUGACGGUACCAGAGGAAUAAGCACCGGCUAACUCCGUGCCAGCAGCCGCGGUAAUACGGAGGGUGCAAGCGUUAUCCGGAUUUACUGGGUUUAAAGGGAGCGUAGGUGGGCAGGUAAGUCAGUGGUGAAAUCUCUGGGCUUAACCCGGAAACUGCCAUUGAUACUAUCUGUCUUGAAUAUCCUGGAGGUAAGCGGAAUAUGUCAUGUAGCGGUGAAAUGCUUAGAUAUGACAUAGAACACCCAUUGCGAAGGCAGCUUACUACGGGAUUAUUGACACUGAGGCUCGAAAGCGUGGGGAUCAAACAGGAUUAGAUACCCUGGUAGUCCACGCCCUAAACCGAUGGAUACUCGACAUCAGCGAUACACUGUUGGUGUCUGAGCGAAAGCAUUAAGUAUCCCACCUGGGAAGUAACGACCGCAAGGUUGAAACUUAAAUUGAAUUGACGG
RNAcentral lists this ribosomal RNA (581 nucleotides) under uncultured bacterium. RNAcentral describes it as "bacterial SSU rRNA". It matches the Rfam family "Bacterial small subunit ribosomal RNA", at positions 338 to 916 of the family's 1533-position model. The record is from RNAcentral.